UACGGGGGGGGCAAGCGUUGUUCGGAAUUACUGGGCGUAAAGGGCUCGUAGGCGGCCAACUAAGUCAGACGUGAAAUCCCUCGGCUUAACCGGGGAACUGCGUCUGAUACUGGAUGGCUUGAGUUUGGGAGAGGGAUGCGGAAUUCCAGGUGUAGCGGUGAAAUGCGUAGAUAUCUGGAGGAACACCGGUGGCGCAGGCGGCAUCCUGGACCAAUACUGACGCUGAGGAGCGAAAGCCAGGGGAGCAAACGGG
RNAcentral lists this ribosomal RNA (253 nucleotides) under uncultured bacterium. RNAcentral's name for it is "partial 16S ribosomal RNA". It matches the Rfam family "Bacterial small subunit ribosomal RNA", at positions 524 to 776 of the family's 1533-position model. The record is from RNAcentral.